RNAcentral lists this ribosomal RNA (433 nucleotides) under uncultured bacterium. RNAcentral's name for it is "partial 16S ribosomal RNA". It matches the Rfam family "Bacterial small subunit ribosomal RNA", at positions 29 to 507 of the family's 1533-position model. The record is from RNAcentral.
AACGAACGCUGGCGGCAUGCCUAACACAUGCAAGUCGAACGAGACCUUCGGGUCUAGUGGCGCACGGGUGCGUAACGCGUGGGAACCUGCCCUUAGGUUCGGAAUAACUCCCCGAAAGGGGUGCUAAUACCGGAUAAUGUCUUCGGACCAAAGAUUUAUCGCCUUUGGAUGGGCCCGCGUUGGAUUAGCUAGUUGGUAGGGUAAAAGCCUACCAAGGCGACGAUCCAUAGCUGGUCUGAGAGGAUGAUCAGCCACACUGGGACUGAGACACGGCCCAGACUCCUACGGGGAGCAGCAGUGGGGAAUAUUGGACGAGGGGCGAAAGCCUGAUCCAGCAAUGCCGGGUGAGUGAUGAAGGCCUUAGGGUUGUAAAGCUCUUUUACCCGGGAUGAUAAUGACAGUACCGGGAGAAUAAGCUCCGGCUAACUCCGUG